This 3422-nucleotide unclassified non-coding RNA is filed under the name Hevea brasiliensis (rubber tree). The record is from RNAcentral. Lineage: Eukaryota; Viridiplantae; Streptophyta; Magnoliopsida; Malpighiales; Euphorbiaceae.
GUAUUUUCGAAAAUCCCAAUAUUCCCUUCCCUUUAUAGAUAUUCACAAGCACCAUUACAAUAAACAAUCACAACAAACUAUCUCAAUCUUAAGCACAAACAAUUACAGUAUCUUAACAAUAACUUGUCAAUUUAAUAUCAAAACUUUAGCAUUUGUACUAUGCUUAUCAUAAACUAACCAUUCAAAAUUGUACUAGUAGAUGCUGAAUUGUUAGUCAAGCUAUGCUUCUUCCCUUUUGUACAUUAUACGUAUGAUAACGGGAUCGUCGCACCUAAUAUCAUAAUAAAGAUAUUUUUGAUACAUACGAUCCUCUAAAGAGGCAAGUGUAGAGCAUACAUAUCUCUGAUUAUAGGAGUAUGAUACACGUUCAAAGGUUUUCAGAGAGAAAGAGAAGAGUUUAGAGAGCCAUAUAAGAAAACUCAGAAUAUUAUUUCAGAGAAAACUUAAGUCUGCUUACAAUGAGAUAGAACGUCUCCAUUUAUAGGCAAGGAGACUCUAGCUAUUACAGGCAAUCGGUUAGAAACUGGCUAACCGAUACACUAAAGUAAAACACACUACUUAUUAAAGUAAAAGUACUUAUUACAUUUUUGACCGACAAGUUUUAACUUUUAUUAUGGAGAUGUUGACAGGUUGAGUGUGUCAUAAUUAGAAUCGUCUGAGUCAUCAAUUCCGAAAAAGUCCUUCGGCCACUGUCGGUGAACAGGUGAUGGUGGGUCAGCACUCUCAAUGGCUGCUUGUAUUUCACUGUCCAUUGAGUCUUGGGAAUCUUGCCAGAUGGAAUGAGACCAGUCUAUUUCAUCAAUGAGAGAUCGGAUGGGUUCAAGGGACGUACAAUUCAUAUGAGGAAGUGUCAGAGGCUGGUAGCCGUUGAUUUCGCAGAGAUGCUCUGCCAGUUGCUUCCUUAGUGGUCCCAUAGCAUCCUUUUCUGUGAUGGACCCUUCAUAGGUCCUCCAUUCAUAUUCAGUGUUUUGGGUCCAGAGAAGUCCAUCGGGCCUUCUAGAGAAAGGCCUAUGCAUGAUGAACAUGGUUUUGAUGUUGGGUUGAGUCCUGAUGGGCCUGUCUUUAAUCCCAUGAGUGUUUAUGAGUUGUUUCAGACUGUACUGCCAUGCGGAGAUGGGCUUGAACCAUUCCAGGAAUCUAAACAGGAGAGUCAUGUUUGUUCUAUCCAGUGUAUGCUGGUACAGGGCCAUGAGUGGGAAUUCUAUUCCCGUAGAGUACAGAGUAACCAUGCAUCAGAGGAGCCAUAAUUCUUCCAGGAUGAGGUCUUUGUCAAGAUGAAUGCUGAAACAUGUGAGGAAAGGAUUGUCAGGAAUGAAGAUUGAUGAGGAUGGGAGCAAUCCCCUUAGGGUAUUCCUGGCACUUAGAUAAUGGAACAGAUGGUCUUUUGCGAACUGAACUAUCUUUGCGAUAGGCUGAUUAGGUGAGCAUCCUGGAGGGAAACUGUCUAAGGUAGGGACAAGGAAACUAAGAGUAUGUGAAGAAGAUGAUGAUGCCAUGAGGAUCAGGGGGAGCGUAGAGCAAGACCUUAUGAGAUGAAGUUCUUUGGGUUUGGAUAGUAGGUCAGAAACUAGGUUAUGCUUCCAUUUGAUGUGUUAACUGUAAACUUAUACCUGGCGAAUCAAUCUUUCAGCCUCAGUAGUUGUGGUUCAGGAAGAGACUUAUUUUUGAAGUCUAGAACCUUUGGGAAGGAUGAGCUGUCCAUGACCACAGUGAAAUGGUGGCCAAUCAAAUGAAAUUCGAAUUUCUUUAUUCCAUUUUUGACAGCUAAUAUCUCUUUGUAGACUGAAUGAUAAUGUUUCUGAGGCUCUGGGAACUCUCCACUAGCAUGUCCGCAGAUAUGCUUUUCUCCUUGAAUUUCUUCGAUGAGGACUGCACCCCAGUGGGUGUCACUAGCAUCAGUCUGAAGGAUGCGGUGUCCAAUGCUGGGAAUCUUUAGUGGUGGCGGGUUUAAAACCACUUCUUUUAAUUUUUUGACUACACAUGUCUGUUCUUCCCUCCAUGGUGGGGCAUCCUUUUUAAGCAUUUUUGACAGCUGGCACGUGUGGGCGGCCACAUGCGGGAUAAACUUCCUGAUGUAAUUGAUAAUACCAAGGAACUGUUGUAUUUGUUUUACUGUCAAGUCCUUAUCAGGGAACUUCAGUAAUUCUUCUGCAAUGUGAGGUCCCGGUUGGUAUUUUUCAUCCUUAGAAUUUUAUUCCAAGGAAGUCGAUGUCAGUUUGGGCCAGUGAGCUCUUCUUUUCUGAUAGCAUAAUUCCAUAGGAAUCCACCAAUUGUUGAAAUGUGGAGAGGAGUGUCCUAUGGGCCGUAACAUCUUUGGAGAAGAGGAGGAUAUCAUCUAUAUAGAUGAGAGCACUGUGGAGUAUAGGCUCGAAUAUCUUUGUCAUGACCUUCUGGAAAACAGAUGGGGCUGUUUUAAGGCUGAAUGGGAGAACAAUCCAUUGAUAUUGGGCCGUAGGGAUACAAAAAGCGAUUUUGGGUCUAUCAGAGGGGUUAAUACCCAAUUGCCAAAAACUAGCUUUAAGAUCAAACUUGGAGAAGAUAUGGGCUUCGUGUAGUUGAGUGAACAAGGCUUCAGGCUUUGAUAAUGGGAACUUGUCAUCUUGGAGGAAAUGAUUCAGAAGCUUGUAAUCUAUGACAAGUCUUUUUUUCCCUCUUAGUCAUUCCGAUCUUUUUUCAACAUAAAAGGCCUGGCAGGCCCAUUGGAAGGAAGUGGGUUCUAUGAGGCCUUGUUGGAGAAGCUGUUUGCACUCUUCUUGGGCUAGAGCCAAGUCUGUAAGAUUCAUUCCCGGGUGUGAUGCCUUUGUCGGAUUGAUAUCUUCAUUGAGUUUGAAUGGAAGACUGACAAAGAAUUCCGGGUUUUUCCAUAGGGGGUGGUGAUGGUGAAAAUGUGCAUGGGAAUCAGCACAGGACCUUAAGAGGAGCUCCUUGUGCUCUUGGAAUUCAGCUGAGGCAUCAGCCAGAGAAUAUAACCUUGGGACAGAAGUAAAUGGCUAAAAAUUCCUCUUAUAUUUCAAUCCUGUGGGGAGGAUCUUCAAAUGCUUCGCCUGUUGGUACAAGUCAAAGCCUAUCAAUAGAUCCUUGUCAGGAAGAUCCGACCCGAUGACCCUAGUCCAAAGGAUACAAGUGGGGAAGAACUGAAUUCCAAUUGGGUGCUUAGUGAUAAGGCUAGUUUUGAAAACAUUUCCAUCUGCAGCCUUAAAGUAUUCUUCAUGGGGGACCCAGUAUUCUGAGGGUAAGAUGGCUGGGUUCAUCAUGCUUUUGUGAGCCCCGGUAUCCAAGAAGCCAAUGACACUAAUGGGCCGUUCAUACUUACUGGGAAGAAUAUGGAUCGGGACUAAAGGAAUUGGAAUAGUGUCUGGGCCAUAAGUGGAUUAGGAGGAUUGGAUAUGUUGGGCUAAGUAAGACGGGUAAUGGGCUUCAGU